RNAcentral lists this long non-coding RNA (636 nucleotides) under Homo sapiens (human). RNAcentral's name for it is "HSALNT0383841". The record is from RNAcentral. Lineage: Eukaryota; Metazoa; Chordata; Mammalia; Primates; Hominidae.
ACAGUCAUUGUUUCCAGACCAGCCGAGCCAACUGGGGAGGAGAGGCCAAGCCCAGGGAGAGCAGUAAGAGGCCCAGCUUGCAACACAGGCCCCCGGCGGCUGGAGUCGGCUCAUGGGUUGCUGGGGGGCAGCUGGUGCCAGCCCUGCUAGACAUGUCCAGGGUCGGGGCAGAGGCCAGGGUGGCUCUCAUCCACAACGAGGCUCCAGGAAGAGGCUCCAGAGGGCCCAGGUCCCUGGAGGAAGACAGAGGGUGGAUUAUCCAGUGAGUCCUCAGAUUGCUCCAGGGAGACUCUACCCCUAGGCCCUCAUCCUACCUAGGACUGAGGCAGCCAUCUGGGUCUCUGCUUCCCUAACCACUUCCUCCUCCACCCGACCAUCACCUAGUCUCAAGGACUUGGGCAGCUUCUGGAAGUGGCUGAGACUGGAAGAAUGUUGUCACACCUACCAGAUAUCCCUACGUGUAUCUCUACCACCCCCACUACAUAUUCUGAAGAACCAAGGUGCAACAGGAACCUGGAGCCUCAAGAGCCGAGGUGCUCAGGAGGGGCAGCAUGACUCCAGGGCUCGGAAGGAGCCCCUCAGGUAAGGUCCCCUCAAAGCCUGAGAGUUCCCUUUGUCCACAACUCAUCUAUUUUG